This 833-nucleotide long non-coding RNA is filed under the name Homo sapiens (human). RNAcentral describes it as "non-protein coding lnc-VPS8-1:3". Lineage: Eukaryota; Metazoa; Chordata; Mammalia; Primates; Hominidae. The record is from RNAcentral.
ACCAUUAAUUUCACAGCUUACAAUUAUUUGCAUCUCCCCCGCUUUUUUUUUGUUUUUUUUUUUCUUUGCUUGAGUCAUUUUAAAAAGCCCUUAUGAUUUCCUUUAAUCCUUUUGGUAGAGCAAUUCCAUUCUCUUCUCUCUUAACCUCCUCUCUCCGGAACGCCCCCCCUCCGCCUGAAAGCUUUAAAUAAUGCAGCAAAUUCUUGUUUCGUUUCCUUUUCUCUGUUUCCAGAUGGAUUUUUCUCCCCAGAACAUCCCUGGGAAUCAUUUCUGUCAGAUGCUUCACUGGAUGUCCCUUGGUCUUUACAGCCAUCUAUCCUCCUUCUCCAACCCCCACCUCGAAUUGCAACUUGCUAUUUUAAUUAUAGUUUCUCUUGCCACACUUGGGUUGUUUUUUUUUUCUCUUCUCAGUCUUCUACCUCGCUUAGAUUUUAAUCCCUUCUUCCAGUGCAGAAAAUUCAUUAAGAUUUCUAGAUUCCUCCCAAUUUGCUUCCUUGAUGUUGAAUAAUUCUUAGUCUAUGUAUGAUGCUGAUUGUUCAGAUGUUGAAUUAAGUUGCUAAGCAGUGGGGCCAGGAGGCCCUGUCCAAGUGCAGACUGAACCCCACUCCGGAGUGGAGCUGGGGUGUCCCUGGGUCAUCUGGUCCCUGCAGUCCUGAAGCUGGCCCUCUCUAAGACCAGACCUCGGCCCCAGUGCAACCAGCCACCUGUGCCUGCCUCCCUGGCCACCCGAUGAGAGGUCCUGGGAUUGUUUGUCUUCGGUUCCAUGGAUUGAUCCUUGCAGGCUGGGCCAGGCUGGCCCUGACCAUAAGCCACCUGGGUCACCUGCAGCUGUU